GACGAACGCUGGCGGCGUGCUUAACACAUGCAAGUCGAACGGUGAAGCGAGUGCCUGCUCUCGUGGAUCAGUGGCGAACGGGUGAGUAACACGUGAGUAACCUGCCCAUCACUCUGGGAUAAGCACUGGAAACGGUGUCUAAUACUGGAUACGACCAACCCUUGCAUGGGGAGUUGGUGGAAAGAUUUAUCGGUGAUGGAUGGACUCGCGGCCUAUCAGCUUGUUGGCGGGGUAAUGGCCCACCAAGGCGACGACGGGUAGCCGGCCUGAGAGGGUGACCGGCCACACUGGGACUGAGACACGGCCCAGACUCCUACGGGAGGCAGCAGUGGGGAAUAUUGCACAAUGGGCGAAAGCCUGAUGCAGCGACGCCGCGUGAGGGAUGACGGCCUUCGGGUUGUAAACCUCUUUCAGCAGGGAAGAAGCGAAAGUGACGGUACCUGCAGAAGAAGCACCGGCUAACUACGUG
RNAcentral lists this ribosomal RNA (469 nucleotides) under uncultured bacterium. Its description in RNAcentral is "partial 16S ribosomal RNA". It matches the Rfam family "Bacterial small subunit ribosomal RNA", at positions 28 to 507 of the family's 1533-position model. The record is from RNAcentral.